UGGGGAAUAUUGGACAAUGGGCGAAAGCCUGAUCCAGCCAUGCCGCGUGUGUGAAGAAGGCCUUUUGGUUGUAAAGCACUUUAAGUGGGGAGGAAAAGCUUAUGGUUAAUACCCAUAAGCCCUGACGUUACCCACAGAAUAAGCACCGGCUAACUCUGUGCCAGCAGCCGCGGUAAUACAGAGGGUGCAAGCGUUAAUCGGAAUUACUGGGCGUAAAGCGAGCGUAGGUGGUCAUUUAAGUCAGAUGUGAAAGCCCCGGGCUUAACCUGGGAACUGCAUCUGAUACUGGAUGACUAGAGUAGGUGAGAGGGAAGUAGAAUUCCAGGUGUAGCGGUGAAAUGCGUAGAGAUCUGGAGGAAUACCGAUGGCGAAGGCAGCUUCCUGGCAUCAUACUGACACUGAGGUUCGAAAGCGUGGGUAGCAAACAGGAUUAGAUACCCUGGUAGUCCACGCCGUAAACGAUGUCUACCAGUCGUUGGGUCUUUUAAAGACUUAGUGACGCAGUUAGCGCAAUAAGUAGACCGCCUGGGGAGUACGGCCGCAAGGUUA
This 549-nucleotide ribosomal RNA is filed under the name uncultured bacterium. RNAcentral's name for it is "bacterial SSU rRNA". It matches the Rfam family "Bacterial small subunit ribosomal RNA", at positions 355 to 896 of the family's 1533-position model. The record is from RNAcentral.